RNAcentral lists this ribosomal RNA (394 nucleotides) under uncultured bacterium. Its description in RNAcentral is "bacterial SSU rRNA". It matches the Rfam family "Bacterial small subunit ribosomal RNA", at positions 771 to 1167 of the family's 1533-position model. The record is from RNAcentral.
AGCGAAUAGAUACCCAGGUAGUCCACGCCCUAAACGAUGUCAACUGGUUGUUGGGGGAGUGAAAUCCCUUAGUAAACGAAAGCUAAACGCGUGAAGUUGACCGCCUGGGGAGUACGGUCGCAAGAUUAAAACUCAAAGGAAUUGACGGGGACCCGCACAAGCGGUGGAUGAUGUGGAUUAAUUCGAUGCAACGCGAAAAACCUUACCUACCCUUGACAUGUCCGGAAUCCUGCAGAGAUGCGGGAGUGCCCGAAAGGGAAUCGGAACACAGGUGCUGCAUGGCUGUCGUCAGCUCGUGUCGUGAGAUGUUGGGUUAAGUCCCGCAACGAGCGCAACCCUUAUCAUUAGUUGCUACGCAAGGGCACUCUAAUGAGACUGCCGGUGACAAACCGGA